GUCUACUGCCACACCUCCCAGAAUGCACCUCAUCCCGGAAGCUAAGCAGGGUCGGCCGGGUUAGUACUCGAUGGGAGCAGCUAUCUGAGGAAAACCUGGCCUAAAUA
RNAcentral lists this ribosomal RNA (107 nucleotides) under Microtus ochrogaster (prairie vole). Lineage: Eukaryota; Metazoa; Chordata; Mammalia; Rodentia; Cricetidae. The record is from RNAcentral.